CCUACGGGUGGCAGCAGUAGGGAAUAUUGCUCAAUGGGGGAAACCCUGAAGCAGCAACGCCGCGUGGAGGAUGAAGGUUUUCGGAUUGUAAACUCCUUUUGUUAGAGAAGAUAAUGACGGUAUCUAACGAAUAAGCACCGGAUAACGCCGUGCCAGCAGCCGCGGUAAUACGGAGGGUGCAAGCGUUACUCGGAAUCACUGGGCGUAAAGGGCGCGUAGGCGGGAUAGCAAGUCAGAUGUGAAAUCCUAUGGCUUAACCAUAGAACUGCAUUUGAAACUGUUGUUCUAGAGUAUGGGAGAGGUAGGUGGAAUGCUUGGGGUAGGGGUAAAAUCCGUAGAGAUCAAGAGGAAUACUCAUUGCGAAGGCGACCUGCUAGAACAUAACUGACGCUGAUGCGCGAAAGCGUGGGUAGCAAACAGGAUUAGAUACCCUUGUAGUC
This 440-nucleotide ribosomal RNA is filed under the name uncultured bacterium. RNAcentral's name for it is "partial 16S ribosomal RNA". It matches the Rfam family "Bacterial small subunit ribosomal RNA", at positions 338 to 795 of the family's 1533-position model. The record is from RNAcentral.